AUUGAACGCUGGCGGCAUGCCUAACACAUGCAAGUCGAACGGCAGCACGGCAGUAGCAAUACUGUGGGUGGCGAGUGGCGGACGGGUGAGGAAUACGUCGGAAUCUGCCCAGUCGUGGGGGAUAACUAGCCGAAAGGUUAGCUAAUACCGCAUACGACCGAGAGGUGAAAGCGGGGGACCGCAAGGCCUACGCGCGAUUGGAUGAGCCGACGUCGGAUUAGCUAGUUGGUGGGGUAAAGGCCCACCAAGGCGACGAUCUGUAGCUGGUCUGAGAGGAUGAUCAGCCACACUGGAACUGAGACACGGUCCAGACUCCUACGGGAGCAGCAGUGGGGAAUAUUGGACAAUGGGCGCAAGCCUGAUCCAGCAAUGCCGCGUGUGUGAAGAAGGA
RNAcentral lists this ribosomal RNA (391 nucleotides) under uncultured bacterium. RNAcentral's name for it is "bacterial SSU rRNA". It matches the Rfam family "Bacterial small subunit ribosomal RNA", at positions 29 to 415 of the family's 1533-position model. The record is from RNAcentral.